GGGCGGUUGGCGCAGUGGUAGCGCACUUCCCUGACACGGAAGGGGUCACAAGUUCGAAUCUUGUAUCGCCCAC
Molecule: transfer RNA, 73 nt
Filed under: Bifidobacterium longum subsp. longum
Lineage: Bacteria; Bacillati; Actinomycetota; Actinomycetes; Bifidobacteriales; Bifidobacteriaceae
Also listed under: 37 other names
Description: tRNA-Val(gac)
Rfam family: tRNA
About the family: Transfer RNA (tRNA) molecules are approximately 80 nucleotides in length. Their secondary structure includes four short double-helical elements and three loops (D, anti-codon, and T loops).
Source: RNAcentral